UAUGGUGCUGGGAGCGGCGAACGGCUGCGUAACACGUGGAUUACCUGCCCCGAACUCAGGGAUAACCAUCCGAAAGGGUGGCUAAUACCGGAUAGUCUCGAAAGAGUAAAGCUUUCGCGGUUCGGGAGGGGUCUGCGGCCUAUCAGCUAGUUGGUAAGGUAACGGCUUACCAAGGCUAUGACGGGUAGCUGGUUUGAGAGAACGACCAGCCAGAAUGGAACUGAGACACGGUCCAU
Molecule: ribosomal RNA, 236 nt
Filed under: uncultured bacterium
Lineage: Bacteria
Description: partial 16S ribosomal RNA
Rfam family: Bacterial small subunit ribosomal RNA
Source: RNAcentral